RNAcentral lists this ribosomal RNA (96 nucleotides) under uncultured cyanobacterium. RNAcentral describes it as "partial 23S ribosomal RNA". It matches the Rfam family "Bacterial large subunit ribosomal RNA", at positions 1 to 96 of the family's 2925-position model. Lineage: Bacteria; Bacillati; Cyanobacteriota. The record is from RNAcentral.
GGUCAAGCUACAAAGGGCUCACGGCGGAUACCUUGGCACACAGAGGCGGUGAAGGACGUGGUUACCUGCGAUAAGUCUCGGGGAGCUGGAAGCACG